ACUCCUGCGGGAGGCAGCAGUGGGGAAUAUUGGACAAUGGGCGCAAGCCUGAUCCAGCCAUGCCGCGUGAGUGAUGAAGGCCCUAGGGUUGUAAAGCUCUUUCACCGGUGAAGAUAAUGACGGUAACCGGAGAAGAAGCCCCGGCUAACUUCGUGCCAGCAGCCGCGGUAAUACGAAGGGGGCUAGCGUUGUUCGGAUUUACUGGGCGUAAAGCGCACGUAGGCGGACUAUUAAGUCAGGGGUGAAAUCCCGGGGCUCAACCCCGGAACUGCCUUUGAUACUGGUAGUCUUGAGUUCGAGAGAGGUGAGUGGAAUUCCGAGUGUAGAGGUGAAAUUCGUAGAUAUUCGGAGGAACACCAGUGGCGAAGGCGGCUCACUGGCUCGAUACUGACGCUGAGGUGCGAAAGCGUGGGGAGCAAACAGGAUUAGAAACCCCGGUAGUCC
Molecule: ribosomal RNA, 444 nt
Filed under: uncultured organism
Description: partial 16S ribosomal RNA
Rfam family: Bacterial small subunit ribosomal RNA
Source: RNAcentral